RNAcentral lists this ribosomal RNA (484 nucleotides) under uncultured bacterium. RNAcentral describes it as "partial 16S ribosomal RNA". It matches the Rfam family "Bacterial small subunit ribosomal RNA", at positions 29 to 507 of the family's 1533-position model. The record is from RNAcentral.
AAUGAACGCUGGCGGCAUGCCUAACACAUGCAAGUCGAACGGAAACGCGGGCUUCUUGCUCGCGUCGAGUGGGGAACGGGUGGGUAAGGCACCGGAGCGUGCCCUACCGUGGAGGAUGGGAUGGCGAAAGCCGGACGAAUAUCGCACACGACCAGAUAGUGAAAGGGGGGGACCAAAAGUCAACGACGGUUUUGAGGGGACGAAGACGGAGUAGCUAGUUGGUUGGGUAACGGCUUACCAAGGCGACGAUGCGUAGCUGGGCUGAGAGGACGACCGGCCACACUGGAACUGAGACACGGCCCAGACUCCUACGGGAGGCAGCAGUCGGGAAUUUUCCGCAAUGGGGGAAAGCCUGAUGCAGCAACGCCGCGUGAGUGAAGAAGGCCUUCGGGUCGUAAAACGCUUUUGUUCGGGAAGAACAACUGUGUGAUUAUCCACGGGGGUCAUGACGGUACCGGAAGAAUAAGCACCGGCUAACUACGUG